GGGGUCGCCCCUCUCCUCCGGCCGCAGCUGAGCGCUCCCAGCCGGUGAUCUGCGUUUUUGCCGCCCUUUGUGAGCGUUUUCGAAGCAUCGCAUUGGAACGCCGGAGAAGAAGGGCAGGUCUGUCAUGUGUCUGUUUUCCAAGAGAAGAAACUGAGCCGUGGAGAGUAAAGGUGACUUGUCCAAGGUCACAUUCCGAGAAAGGGGCAGGAUCAGGAUUGGAACCCAAGUUCUAACUCCAGCUGUGCAUUUCACAGAGAUGUUGGGUGAAUCGCUGAAUCUCUGGGACUUCCUCCCCACCCGCGCUCCCAGAUGAGGAAGUUGGGACCCGGAAAAAAGUGAUGUGACUCCCAGUCUGGUGCUCUCCACACCACAUCUUAUGAGGUGUUACCUACCCAGACAUAGCUCUACCAUAUGAAAUCCUGACUCAGUAAGUGUAGGAUGAAGCCCACAACCUGCUUUGUAACAGCAUCCCAGACUGUCUAGUGCAAGUUGUCUAAAAUCUACCCAUGGAAAGCUGUCUUGGAGGAGGUUCCUGUGAUCUAAUCCUUGCUGCUCAGUGUUUGGUCCCUGGAUGGGCAACAUCUCAACCAUUGGUGAGCUUGUAGGAGUGAAAUCUGAACACACCCCAGGUUCACUGAGCCAAAAUGUGCCUGUUACAAGAUGCCCUGGUGUUUCCCGUAUUCAUUAGUGUUUGACAAAACACCAAUUUAAAUGGCAAGACUGAUUGG
This is a long non-coding RNA of Fukomys damarensis (Damara mole-rat), 728 nucleotides long. RefSeq lists it as uncharacterized. The transcript is spliced from 3 exons. The record is from RefSeq and is a predicted model, not a curated record. NCBI's taxonomy places the organism in Eukaryota, Metazoa, Chordata, Mammalia, Rodentia, Bathyergidae.